This 497-nucleotide ribosomal RNA is filed under the name uncultured bacterium. Its description in RNAcentral is "partial 16S ribosomal RNA". It matches the Rfam family "Bacterial small subunit ribosomal RNA", at positions 28 to 507 of the family's 1533-position model. The record is from RNAcentral.
GAUGAACGCUGGCGGCGUGCCUAAUACAUGCAAGUCGAGCGAACAGACGAGGAGCUUGCUCCUCUGACGUUAGCGGCGGACGGGUGAGUAACACGUGGAUAACCUACCUAUAAGACUGGGAUAACUUCGGGAAACCGGAGCUAAUACCGGAUAAUAUAUUGAACCGCAUGGUUCAAUAGUGAAAGACGGUUUUGCUUUCACUUAUAGAUGGAUCCGCGCCGCAUUAGCUAGUUGGUAAGGUAACGGCUUACCAAGGCAACGAUGCGUAGCCGACCUGAGAGGGUGAUCGGCCACACUGGAACUGAGACACGGUCCAGACUCCUACGGGAGGCAGCAGUAGGGAAUCUUCCGCAAUGGGCGAAGGCCUGACGGAGCAACGCCGCGUGAGUGAUGAAGGUCUUCGGAUCGUAAAACUCUGUUAUUAGGGAAGAACAAAUGUGUAAGUAACUAUGCACGUCUUGACGGUACCUAAUCAGAAAGCCACGGCUAACUACGUG